UAAGUGCAUUGGUCAUUGGCCCCUGAUCCCCUAGUCUGCCUACAGUAUUUUUUAUUGUGUGUCCCUGUAUGUUCUUGAAAUCAAACUUGUGUACUGUGGACUUUCUUGGUGAAUCUUGUCAUGGCUACUACUAAGUUUGAAUUGAGCAUGUUUAAUGGGAGGGGGACUUUAAUAUGUGGAGCCAGAAAAUGAGGGCUAUCUUAAUGCAAACGAAAUGUGCUAAAGCCUUAGAUAAU
This 236-nucleotide long non-coding RNA is filed under the name Olea europaea (common olive). RNAcentral's name for it is "long non-coding RNA (OEUR_LNC008199)". The record is from RNAcentral. Lineage: Eukaryota; Viridiplantae; Streptophyta; Magnoliopsida; Lamiales; Oleaceae.